GACGAACGCUGGCGGCGUGCUUAACACAUGCAAGUCGAACGGAAAGGCCCUGCUUUUGUGGGGUGCUCGAGUGGCGAACGGGUGAGUAACACGUGAGUAACCUGCCCUUGACUUUGGGAUAACUUCAGGAAACUGGGGCUAAUACCGGAUAGGAGCCCCUGCUGCAUGGUGGGGGUUGGAAAGUUUCGGCGGUUGGGGAUGGACUCGCGGCUUAUCAGCUUGUUGGUGGGGUAGUGGCUUACCAAGGCUUUGACGGGUAGCCGGCCUGAGAGGGUGACCGGCCACAUUGGGACUGAGAUACGGCCCAGACUCCUACGGGAGGCAGCAGUGGGGAAUAUUGCACAAUGGGCGGAAGCCUGAUGCAGCAACGCCGCGUGCGGGAUGACGGCCUUCGGGUUGUAAACCGCUUUCGCCUGUGACGAAGCGUGAGUGACGGCAAUGGGUAAAGAAGCACCGGCUAACUACGUG
RNAcentral lists this ribosomal RNA (468 nucleotides) under uncultured bacterium. Its description in RNAcentral is "partial 16S ribosomal RNA". It matches the Rfam family "Bacterial small subunit ribosomal RNA", at positions 28 to 507 of the family's 1533-position model. The record is from RNAcentral.